UCAAUUGUCUUCCAAUUGUCCAGGGCUUGUGCAGCUGAUUGGAGUCAGUUUGAAGUUCUAUUAAAGAGGAAGAUUUCAAAGUGCACCUCAUGACUUUUCUUGUUUACUCAAUGCAGUAUUUUUUAUGUUCCAGUUCAGAGAAGAGCUGAUAGAAGCAUUCCCCAGGUGAUCUUGAUGCUGAAUGUCUCCUUAGGAGGUCUUGGCACAGAGAAGAACGAGCCCCCUUUGGGCUGACCCUGUUUGGACAAGCUGCUCCUCACCCCCAGCCUCACCAUGUCUGACAUGGCCCACCUGGCACUGACAUCCCUGUGCCCUGCAGCAGAACCUUGUCCCCUGAGCUCUGCAGCUCCAUGUCCCAGCCCAUUGCACCAUGUUCCAUCUGCUCUCCUCAGGGCUCUGCCUACACAGAGGUCCAGGAGAAGUUUUCCUGUUGGGAAGGAAAGAAUGGAAAAGCCUGAAGAGGUUUCCUAAACAACAAACCCCACUCAGGAACCACCUGCUCAGUCCAGGCUGCCUGGAAUGGUGUCACCUUUCUACAAGGGACAGUGUAAGCAGAAAUGAUCUCUGGAAGCAGAAUUCUCUGAGUCUUGCAGCUGAAUUCACUGUCCCUGUCCUUUCCUUGGAUCUCUGUUGCAGAUGGAAGCUGCUGGUGCCAUCAUCACCUUUAACCUCUCUUUUGAAUGCAAACAGAUGUUCCCAGGUGUGCUAAGCAGGAUUUGCUCAAUGUUUCUACAAAACUUUUGUGUUCUUCUUGGAAUGAAGGGGCCAUUUUGAAGGGGGUAUGUGAAAGCAAGGAGUCAAUUGUGACACUGGGGUCUCAUGGAACCAAGGGGCCAUGGUGACACAGCAGGGCCACGUGGAUCCAGUGGUCCAUUGUGACACUGUGGAUCCAUGGAGACACCCCCAGAACCUUCAUGGAACCAAGGAGUCCAUGGUGACCCAGCGGGGCUGCAUGGAGCCAAUGGUCCCUGGUGACACUGCCCAUCCAAGGAGGCCACUGUGACACUGCAGGAGCUCAUGGAGCGAGGACAGAUGGGGCCCGAAGAUUGGUGAACUAUUAAUCUUUGGAAACUGCUGAUCAAGGACUGAUGGAUUUUUCACACUGUCAUCUGUACUCUCAGUCGCCUCACAAAAAGAAAUUACAGUGUUGGACCUGUCUCCUGACCCACCUUGUUUUACACCCCAAUGACUAACAAUUGCCCAAGCCAUAUUACUCCUUGAACAGGAUGCUGGUGACGCUUCACUAGUGAUGUGGACCCAGGUGAUAAGUCAUGAUCAACCAAAAAUCACCUGCACUCUGGAACUUACCAAUGAACAUAUUGUUUUGAUAGGGCUUGUGGACAUGGGAGCAGAUGCGACAAGUAUCUCACGUUCCAAGUGGCCUCCUAACUGGGUGCUCAGAGCUAAUGCGGGAUUGUCCAGGAUCAGAGGUGACAGUGAUAGUCUCCAAAGUGCAGAACUCUUCAACAUCAAAGGACCUGAAGACCAAACUGCUACAACAAGACCAUUCAUGGUAAAGGACCUUCGUGUGUCCCAGCUAAGAACAUCAAGCCCUACCUGCAGCCACAGAGCGUGGAUUCACCAAAGGAACCCCCAAGUCCACCCCAGGACAAAAACCACCAGACAGCGACUCUAGUACCUGGACUAGACAAUUCUUUUGAAGAUGACAUAUAAGAAGCUUCUACUCACCUUCCUCAGCCUGUUUGCAACCAUGCUCCUCACGAGUGGAUGGGUAGCUCCACAACCAAAGCACAACAUAUGGAUACCUCUAGCAAAAGCCAUGAAACAAGACACCCUGUGCCUGUUGUCAGCUCUGACGACCCCUUCUGCACCUUCCUAGUGGGGUUGCCUACAGAUGUCUGGCCACUAACUGACAAUUCCACCCCCAGUGUGAGAGAUGACAAUCCUAAAGGCAAAUGCAAGUGCAACCUGUCGAUGCUUGGGACUAAUGGAAGCUUCUGCAUGCAGCACUUGAACUCCAGGAGGUAAAAAUUCUCAACUCUGUAAAAAUGGACUUUUGUGUAAGGUUUUAUUACCGUCUGAAAUGGGAAGAAGGUGAAAGACCCAAAAUUACAAGAGAAAAAGAAACUAUCAGGAGAGACAUCUCCCCAUAUCAUCCCACUUACAAAAAACAGAACCAAUGGUGUAAUUGCACCUCUUCCAUAAUUUCUUGGUCCGGUAGCUACCCACUUCAGUUGCCACAGGAUGUGUUUCUUAUUUGCAGGGAUGUAGCGUGGCCUGGUAUCCCUUCACACAUCAAAGGCAGACCUUGUAGCUUGGGGAGGCUUACCUUGCUGGCACUCAACAUCUCACUUGAUUAAAAGAAAAAAGUCAUGA
This is a long non-coding RNA of Passer domesticus (house sparrow), 2337 nucleotides long. RefSeq lists it as uncharacterized. The record is from RefSeq and is a predicted model, not a curated record. The transcript is spliced from 2 exons. Lineage: Eukaryota; Metazoa; Chordata; Aves; Passeriformes; Passeridae.